CAGUCGCCGCGGUAAUACGUAGGGUGCAAGCGUUGCUCGGAAUUACUGGGCGUAAAGGGAGCGUAGGCGGACAUUUAAGUCAGGGGUGAAAUCCCAGAGCUCAACUCUGGAACUGCCUUUGAUACUGGGUGUCUUGAGUGUGAUAGAGGUAUGUGGAACUCCGAGUGUAGAGGUGAAAUUCGUAGAUAUUCGGAAGAACACCAGUGGCGAAGGCGACAUACUGGAUCAUUACUGACGCUGAGGCUCGAAAGCGUGGGGAGCAAACAGGAUUAGAUACCCCGGUAGUCCCUGUCUCUUAUAC
This 301-nucleotide ribosomal RNA is filed under the name uncultured bacterium. RNAcentral's name for it is "partial 16S ribosomal RNA". It matches the Rfam family "Bacterial small subunit ribosomal RNA", at positions 509 to 807 of the family's 1533-position model. The record is from RNAcentral.